This 468-nucleotide ribosomal RNA is filed under the name uncultured bacterium. Its description in RNAcentral is "partial 16S ribosomal RNA". It matches the Rfam family "Bacterial small subunit ribosomal RNA", at positions 28 to 507 of the family's 1533-position model. The record is from RNAcentral.
GACGAACGCUGGCGGCGUGCUUAACACAUGCAAGUCGAACGGAAAGGUCCUGCUGUUGUGUGGUGCUCGAGUGGCGAACGGUUGAGUAACACGUGAUUAACCUUCCCUUGCCUUUGGGAUAACUUCAGGUAACUAGGGCUAAUACCGGAUAGUAGCUCCUACUGCUUGUUGUUGGUUGGAAAGUUUCGGCGGGUUGGUAUGGACUCGCGGCUUAUUGGCCUGUUGGUGGGGUAGUGGCUUGCCAAGGCAUUGACGGGUCGCCGGCCUGAGAGGGUGACCGGCCACAUUGGGCCACGGAUACGAGCCAGAGUCCAACGGGAGGAAGGAGCGGGGAACAUAGCACGCAGGGCGGCAUCAGGGUGCAGGAUCGCCGCGUGGGGGAUGACGGCCGUAGGGUUGUAACCCGCUUUCGCCUGUAACGAAGCGUGAGUGACGGUAAUGGGCAAAGAAGCACCGGCUAACUACGUG